GGUUGUAAUCGUAUAAUUAUUAACUCAGAUAAUAUGGAGGUGAUCGAGACCAUGAACGAAGGAGGACGAUCGUCGGGGGCAGCAGUUGCAAUUUUUGAUGACUGUUUUCACUUAGCUUACGAUUUUUCUAUUUCUAGAUUCGAGCAUUGUAAUAGAGAAGUAAAUAAAGUUGCUCAUGAACUUGCUAAGUUGGCUAGAUUUUUAUUCAUUUUUGGUUGGUUUGAGGAACCACAUAAUGCAAUUGUACCAAUCCUUAUAAACGAUGUAAUGAUUAUUUCUAAUAAAUAA
RNAcentral lists this ribosomal RNA (288 nucleotides) under Triticum aestivum (bread wheat). Its description in RNAcentral is "partial small subunit ribosomal RNA". Lineage: Eukaryota; Viridiplantae; Streptophyta; Magnoliopsida; Poales; Poaceae. The record is from RNAcentral.